GACGAACGCUGGCGGCGUGCUUAACACAUGCAAGUCGAACGGAAAGGCCCUGCUUUUGUGGGGUGCUCGAGUGGCGAACGGGUGAGUAACACGUGAGUAACCUGCCCUUGACUUUUGUAUAACUUCAGGAAACUGGGGCUAAUACCGGAUAGGAGCUCCUGCUGCAUGGUGGGGGUUGGAAAUUUUCGGCGGUUGGGGAUGGACUCGCGGCUUAUCCGCUUGUUGGUGGGGUAGUGGCUUACCAAGGCUUUGACGGGUAGCCGGCCUGAGAGGGUGACCGGCAACAUUGGGACUGAGAUACGGCACAGAAUCCAACGGGAGGCAGCAGUGGGGAAUAUUGCACAAUGGGAGGAAGCAUGAUGAAGAAACGCCGCGUGCGGGAUGACGGCCUUCGGGUUGUAAACCGCUUUCGCCUGUGACGAAGCGUGAGUGACGGUAAUGGGUAAAGAAGCACCGGCUAACUACGUG
Molecule: ribosomal RNA, 468 nt
Filed under: uncultured bacterium
Lineage: Bacteria
Description: partial 16S ribosomal RNA
Rfam family: Bacterial small subunit ribosomal RNA
Source: RNAcentral